This 435-nucleotide non-coding RNA is filed under the name Ophiophagus hannah (king cobra). RNAcentral describes it as "Eukaryotic large subunit ribosomal RNA". It matches the Rfam family "Eukaryotic large subunit ribosomal RNA", at positions 2457 to 2886 of the family's 3401-position model. The record is from Rfam by way of RNAcentral. Lineage: Eukaryota; Metazoa; Chordata; Lepidosauria; Squamata; Elapidae.
CUGGCGGGACUUUAUUUCUCCCACCAGUGGCUGAGCCAAUGAGUAAAGUUUGAUCAUUUUUUCACUUAUCCAGUGAGGCGGGGGGGCGAGCCCUGAGGGGCUCUCUCUUCUGGCUCCAAGCGUCCAGCGCGGGCUGGGCGCAACCUGCUCCAGGGACAGCAUCAGAUGGGGAGUUUGACUGGGGCGGUACACCUGUCAAACCGUAAUGCAGGUGUCCUAAGGCAAGCUCAGGGAGGACAGAAACCUCCCUUGGAGCAGAAAGACAAAAGCUCACUUGAUCUUGAUUUUCAGUACGAAUACAGACGAUGAAAGCGGGGUCUCACGAUCCUUCUGACUUUUUGGGUUUUAAGCAGGAGGUGUCAGAAAAGUUACCACAGGGAUAACUGGCUUGUGGCAGCCAAGCAUUCAUAGUGACCAUAAUGACCAUUUAUGGCA